AGAGUUACAAUACAGUAGAUGCUUACAGCACAUAAACCUAGAUAUUCAAAAGCCUCAUAGUUAAAACAGAAGAAAACAAAACGAAACACAUAUUCAAAGAGUUGGAGAACAUUUCCAGAUUAGAAAAUCAAAAACAAGCACAGGAAACUACAGUAAAAACUCUGAAUUUGCACUAAAGGAGCUCACAGUGGAAAAGUAAGAAGAGCCAUCUUGGAGGCUGAAAAUAUUCAUGAGAAAGUACAUUUCGAAUUGGGUUUUCAGAAAAGUCAAGAUGGUUUUAUGGUUGCUGUAUGAGUGAAACGUUCAAGUCAGUGACUUAGAGUAAUACAGUCUGGGUCAUCCAUUCUAAUAACUUGGAGCUGGAAGAGUCUUCACACAAUAAAAUGGUGAUAUAUUCAUCAAUA
Long non-coding RNA from Canis lupus familiaris (dog), 404 nucleotides. RefSeq lists it as uncharacterized. The transcript has 2 exons. NCBI's taxonomy places the organism in Eukaryota, Metazoa, Chordata, Mammalia, Carnivora, Canidae. The record is from RefSeq and is a predicted model, not a curated record.